UGUCACGUAAAGGUACUCUGAAGCCAGCUC
Molecule: non-coding RNA, 30 nt
Filed under: Homo sapiens (human)
Lineage: Eukaryota; Metazoa; Chordata; Mammalia; Primates; Hominidae
Source: RNAcentral